GCUGGUGACGCCUUGAAUUUCUUUCCUUCCAGACGUAGUACACGGCAGUUUGGAAUAGCAUCCUUGCGAGAAUUGAGUCGAGGCUUUUUCCUCCCAUAGUACGUAGCCGAUUGACAGUCCAUGCCCAAUCUGGGUUGAUGUUCCGUCCAACAAGUGGUCUUGCCAGAGAUUCCCAUAUCGUGUAAGAGUAUGGGCAGGCGAAGAACAGGUGAUCUCUUGUCUCAUUUCUCUCUCCACAAAAGCCACAAACCUGAGUAAUACCCCAUGUUCGCAUGCGAUCUCCCGUUGAUAACCUGUUCCUUAUUGACAGCCAUGUUAUGAAG
RNAcentral lists this long non-coding RNA (323 nucleotides) under Brassica napus (rape). Its description in RNAcentral is "long non-coding RNA (BNAP_LNC009972)". Lineage: Eukaryota; Viridiplantae; Streptophyta; Magnoliopsida; Brassicales; Brassicaceae. The record is from RNAcentral.